Long non-coding RNA from Musa acuminata subsp. malaccensis (wild Malaysian banana), 2407 nucleotides. RefSeq lists it as uncharacterized. The record is from RefSeq and is a predicted model, not a curated record. NCBI's taxonomy places the organism in Eukaryota, Viridiplantae, Streptophyta, Magnoliopsida, Zingiberales, Musaceae.
GGAGGCGGAGACGUGGAUCUAUGCUAAGCCCUUUGUUUCGCCUUUCUUUUGCUUAUUAUAUUAUGCGCCUCCUCGAGAAGGAGACGAUAUUUAUCGUUGCAAUUGCCAGAGCCAAACCCAUCUGCUUCCUCCACCCUUCUUUCGCUUCUUGCACCCGUCUCGAGUUUGAUCUCUUGAUUCAAUUGUGAGUUUGCUCGUAGACGAGCGGACGCCGUGCUGGUGGAAACUGAGUUAUGAUAAGAGGAUGUAACUAGCUUGAGGCAACAACUGUAUAACUUGCAGGAAGUUCUAUGGGCAAAAUGAGCAUACCUAUGAUUUUCUUGCAAGUUAUGCAGUUGUUGCCUCAAGCUUGCUACCUCCAUUUGCCAAAACUUGUAAGUACAAAGCACAAAAGUCAAUCCAUGUCAGAAGUGGAUUGGAUUUGCUAUAUCUAUUUGACUACAGUUUGCAAACUUCAAAUAUAUACAGUGAUGUGAAUUAGAAUCUCAAAUAUGAUGGUAAAUGUUGCAUAUAACUCUUAACUACUCAUACAGUAAAGGAUUGAAGUACUUGUUCUAGAACUGUCGACAUAUAUAGUUUAGAUUUUAGACAGUAUUCUUUCUGAGUAAUUCUUCUAAAUUUAUUACUUGAACUCAUGUUUUAUACUUUUUUAAGUCAUUGCUACCUUACGAAUUGUUCUGUGUUUCAACUAUCAUGCUUAAUCUAACUUUGAUUGCAUGAAUACAGACCCAGGGCAUUUCUUCAAGAUUACAGUUAAAUAACUGUGUAUAUAAGUUGUUUUCCAUACCCAAUAAAUAACUUAUUUCCUUCUUAGUUAAAUGACCAUAACUUUCUAAAUUAAUUAUUGUAAUGAUGGGUGGGGUGGGUUUGUGAUCUCAGCAGUUAUUAGUUAUGCUAAAUUUUCUUUUUAACAUUGGUUUUCCAAAUCUUAAGGACUCACCAUAAAUGAUCUUGAACAAUAUUUAUAACAAAGCUGAAAGGAUCAAGCUACUAAAAAUGAAGAAUCUGAUGGCUCUCUGAUUAACAAGGUAUUUGUUGGGUGACUUGAAAGGACCAUCUCCUAUUUCUGGGAUACAAUUAUUGAGCUAAAUUUUCAGGGUUACUUACAUAUGGUACCCACAAUUUGGAUUAAUUCACUUUUCAGUCCUCUCUUAAGAACCUGACACCACUAAUUUAAAUUUAUUACAUUUAAGACCUUAUGUUAUUCAGAUGUCAACAGAAUGAAUGUUUAAAGAAUCUGAUGGGCUUUUAUUAUUUCUUUAGCCUUUUCCAGUAUGUUUACGAACUAUUUUCUUAUUUUUAAUUUAAAAUAGAAAGGAAUAUUAACUGAACAAAUAAAGAAAGUUAAUCAAGUAAAAGUUGUAUAUCUCUGUUAAUUACAUUUAUGUUUAAAUUAAAAGAUAAUAAUAUCAUUUCAUGUAUCAAUAAUCAUGAGUAUAUGUUGGUCGAAUAUGUCAAACAACUAACAAAAUUAAAUGAUACUGGUUCAAAUAUAAUAAAUAUUGGAUAAAAUGAUGAUGUUGUUUAUAUAUAUAUAUAUAUAUAUAUAUAUUGUGAUUAGGCAUGGAUAAGUACAAUAUGUGAUGGAACCUAUAUGUAAUUAAUCUAAAAUUUUACUUUUGUUUUCUUGACAAAUUUAUUAUCUGGCUUUACCUUAUGCCCAUAUGAAAAGAAAAUUUAUGCAGAACUCCAGACAUUGGAUUGCAGGCUGAAGAUACCAAUUGGCACUCAUUGUCUUCCUCAGCCGAAGUCUAUUUCUCUUGCCUUUCCAGAUUAGACAGUGUUUCAUAAUUGAUUGUAUCUUUAAAAUUCAGCAUUGUUAAUUACUGACAUUUAGUUCUCCUUAUUAUCUAUAGGUGUUUUUUAACCCCUCCUUGAGAAGUCAAUUUCAUGAUUGGUGGUCUUAACUGCUAGCUGUUGACUAAAGAGACCGGGAGAUUUGCUUAUUGGCCACCGGAGAGAUGAAUGCUAGUGUAGCCUAUUCAACCAAGAAAGGAUCAACAUGGAGAGCUUCUUCAUGAAUGUUCAGGUAGCUUGCAACAAAAAAGAGUCAAUCAAGUGUUAAACACGAAGAGAAAUCUUGCACCGAAUUCGAUAGAAUCCAAAUAUGAAAAGCUAAAUGGAAACAUCUAUUAAACGUCUGAUGAUGAAGAAAUCAUGGUCGAAGAUGUUGAGACCGAAGACAUGAUCAUGACUCAAGAUCAACUUCAUGAGGAGGGAACGGAUCAAGCCUUGUGUCCGAAGACUAAGUACAAGUAUGAUCAUACAUUCUUAAGUGAAAAGCCAAUGAAAUCUAUUCUUUUGAACAAUUUAAAGAGCAUAUGAUGCAAUUAAGAUACAUUGCCAAUUUGUUUGUAGUUUAUGUGUGUGUCUUCAUCAUCAAGUUGAAGCUUCGGUGACUGAUCAA